Molecule: ribosomal RNA, 465 nt
Filed under: uncultured Klebsiella sp.
Lineage: Bacteria; Pseudomonadati; Pseudomonadota; Gammaproteobacteria; Enterobacterales; Enterobacteriaceae
Description: bacterial SSU rRNA
Rfam family: Bacterial small subunit ribosomal RNA
Source: RNAcentral
CCUACGGGCGGCUGCAGUGGGGAAUAUUGCACAAUGGGCGCAAGCCUGAUGCAGCCAUGCCGCGUGUGUGAAGAAGGCCUUCGGGUUGUAAAGCACUUUCAGCGGGGAGGAAGGCGUUAAGGUUAAUAGCCUUGGCGAUUGACGUUACCCGCAGAAGAAGCACCGGCUAACUCCGUGCCAGCAGCCGCGGUAAUACGGAGGGUGCAAGCGUUAAUCGGAAUUACUGGGCGUAAAGCGCACGCAGGCGGUCUGUCAAGUCGGAUGUGAAAUCCCCGGGCUCAACCUGGGAACUGCAUUCGAAACUGGCAGGCUAGAGUCUUGUAGAGGGGGGUAGAAUUCCAGGUGUAGCGGUGAAAUGCGUAGAGAUCUGGAGGAAUACCGGUGGCGAAGGCGGCCCCCUGGACAAAGACUGACGCUCAGGUGCGAAAGCGUGGGGAGCAAACAGGAUUAGAUACCCGAGUAGUC